This 301-nucleotide ribosomal RNA is filed under the name uncultured bacterium. RNAcentral describes it as "partial 16S ribosomal RNA". It matches the Rfam family "Bacterial small subunit ribosomal RNA", at positions 509 to 807 of the family's 1533-position model. The record is from RNAcentral.
CAGCAGCCGCGGUAAUACAGAGGGUGCGAGCGUUAAUCGGAUUUACUGGGCGUAAAGCGUGCGUAGGCGGCUUUUUAAGUCGGAUGUGAAAUCCCUGAGCUUAACUUAGGAAUUGCAUUCGAUACUGGGAAGCUAGAGUAUGGGAGAGGAUGGUAGAAUUCCAUGUGUAGCGGUGAAAUGCGUAGAGAUCUGGAGGAAUACCGAUGGCGAAGGCAGCCAUCUGGCCUAAUACUGACGCUGAGGUACGAAAGCAUGGGGAGCAAACAGGAUUAGAUACCCGUGUAGUCCCUGUCUCUUAUAC